RNAcentral lists this ribosomal RNA (300 nucleotides) under uncultured Desulfurococcus sp. RNAcentral's name for it is "bacterial SSU rRNA". It matches the Rfam family "Bacterial small subunit ribosomal RNA", at positions 495 to 795 of the family's 1533-position model. The record is from RNAcentral. Lineage: Archaea; Thermoproteati; Thermoproteota; Thermoprotei; Desulfurococcales; Desulfurococcaceae.
GGGUGACGUGGUGCCAGGUGCGGCGGUAAGAGGUAGGGGGCAAGGGUUAAUGGGAAUUAAGUGGCUGAAAGCGGGCGCCGGCGGUGAUGCAAGGCGGAGGGGAAUGCCGCGGGCUGAACCUGGGAACUGCAUUGGUGACUGGAUCGCUGGAGUAUGGCAGAGGGGGGUAGAAUUCCACGUGUAGCAGUGAAAUGCGUAGAGAUGUGGAGGAAUACCGAUGGCGAAGGCAGCCCCCUGGGCAAAUACUGACGCUCAUGCACGAAAGCGUGGGGAGCAAACAGGAUUAGAUACCCAGUAGUC